AAUAGAUACCCUGGUAGUCCACGCCGUAAACGAUGGAUACUAGCUGUUGGGGGGCGACCUCAGUGGCUAAGCGAAAGUGAUAAGUAUCCCACCUGGGGAGUACGUUCGCAAGAAUGAAACUCAAAGGAAUUGACGGGGGCCCGCACAAGCGGUGGAGCAUGUGGUUUAAUUCGAUGAUACGCGAGGAACCUUACCAAGGCUUAAAUGCAGACUGACCGUUUUGGAAACAGAACUUUCGCAAGACAGUCUACAAGGUGCUGCAUGGUUGUCGUCAGCUCGUGCCGUGAGGUGUCAGGUUAAGUCCUAUAACGAGCGCAACCCCUGUUGUUAGUUGCCAGCGAGUAGUGUCGGGAACUCUAACAAGACUGCCAGUGCAAACUGUGAGGAAGGUGGGGAUGACGUCAAAUCAUCACGGCCCUUACGCCUUGGGCUACACACGUGCUACAAUGGCCGGUACAGAAAGCAGCCACCUCGCGAGGGGGAGCGAAUCUACAAAGCCGGUCACAGUUCGGAUCGGAGUCUGCAACUCGA
Molecule: ribosomal RNA, 531 nt
Filed under: uncultured bacterium
Lineage: Bacteria
Description: bacterial SSU rRNA
Rfam family: Bacterial small subunit ribosomal RNA
Source: RNAcentral